ACGUGCUCUCCGACGGCCAUUCUUCGAGCGACCUCGGUACAGCGCGGGAGCGUCUCGUUCCUCGCUCGAGCAUUGGAGUCGAAGGACCGCCAAGCUAUAACUCUCUUCCUCAUUGCCUGGAGCGUCGACUCUGAAGGCCUCGACAUCAACUAAACGUGGAAGGAGAAGCUGUGUCAGCUGCUGAAGGGAUGGCCUGGAUGUGGAUCCUCCUGCAGGUGGUGGCGGCCGUGUCCGCUCGGAGCCUGGGCGGGGAACACGGCGUGCCGGUUGUCACCGUAAAUCCCAAUUGCCUCAAUGUUUACUGCCUGCACGUUAUAGUACCCGGAUGUCACCCGCCUACUCUGCCCGGGGGUUGCUGUCCAGAUUGGUCACAGUGCAAAGGCAGCGAUGGUACAGAAGUUGCAUGACUUUUGCAACCUACUGAAGACAUUCCAGUCCUCCAGAAAAUUCCUUUUACUUCAGGACUUUCAGCAUGACCUUUAACCUUUCAAGCAGAAAAAAAAUUAUAAUACGUGUGCAUGUUAUUUAUAUAUUAAUUCUGUUUAUUUAUUUCUCCUAACCAGAGGCAGUGGUGGUACAGAAGUUGCAUGACCUUUGCAACCCACAGAAGGAACUUUAGCAUGACCUUUAACCUUUAAGGGAGAAAAAAUGUAAUCAUUCCCACAGUGCUGUUCUCGAAAGAUGCAAGCAUAGAAAAAAAAAAACAUGUUUAGUGUUUAGUGCUAUGAAAUAAGACUUUCCCGAAUAAUUUGAUUAAAGGAUAGAAACAUAAA
This is a long non-coding RNA of Penaeus monodon (black tiger shrimp), 773 nucleotides long. RefSeq lists it as uncharacterized. Lineage: Eukaryota; Metazoa; Arthropoda; Malacostraca; Decapoda; Penaeidae. The record is from RefSeq and is a predicted model, not a curated record. The transcript is spliced from 3 exons.